This 369-nucleotide ribosomal RNA is filed under the name uncultured bacterium. RNAcentral describes it as "bacterial SSU rRNA". It matches the Rfam family "Bacterial small subunit ribosomal RNA", at positions 1 to 334 of the family's 1533-position model. The record is from RNAcentral.
GCCCAGAGACGCACUCUCAGAGUUUGAUCCUGGCUCAGGACGAACGCUGGCGGCGUGCUUAACACAUGCAAGUCGAACGGGGUGACGAUGAAAGCUUGCUUUCAUAAUAGCCUAGUGGCGAACGGGUGAGUAACACGUAACUAACCUGCCCUUCAGUGGGGGACAACAGGAGGAAACUCCUGCUAAUACCGCGUACCUUUUAACAAUCGCAUGAUUGAUAAAAGAAAGGUGGCCUCUAUUUAUAAGCUAUCGCUGAAGGAUGGGCCUGCGUCCGAUUAGCUAGUUGGUGAGGUAAUGGCCCACCAAGGCGACGAUCGGUAGCCGGUCUGAGAGGAUGAACGGCCACAUUGGAACUGAGACACGGUCCAG